This is a long non-coding RNA of Chelonia mydas (Green sea turtle), 509 nucleotides long. RefSeq lists it as uncharacterized. The transcript has 3 exons. Lineage: Eukaryota; Metazoa; Chordata; Testudines; Cheloniidae. The record is from RefSeq and is a predicted model, not a curated record.
GGGGUGUGAGUGUGAGUAUUGCCAUUGCUCUUCCCUACCUGCUCAUGAACUGAGGGCUCCAUAGGAUGCUCUAGAGGAGAAAGACCCUCAGGACCCAAAAGGUCUGCCUCCUAAGAGGCCUGAGACACAAACAGCUUGUGGGAGCUUGACAUGGAGACUGCUUGAUGUGCUAUGACUACCAGCUGCAAAUGGCUUGCACUGGCCAGAUGACAGGACAAAGGCAACAAAGUUAUUUUGAGACUGUUCCGUGAAAAGGAAAUCAAGAAGGAUCUUUGAACAGAAAGUGGAUUAUUUAUGUUCUGUUGUCAUGCAACAAAUAUUCACCCUGUAAAGUGUAUACACACAGUCCAUUUGGAAAAUGAUGCUAACCAUCUAUGAAGGGCAAACACCUCUGUGACUUAGAAUAACUUCUACAAAAAAGAGUAUUCCUUGUCAUAGUAGAAAAGAGUGGUUUGAUGCUACUAUGAUUGCACAUGUAUUCUACCAAAUGUAAUAAAGGUUCAUAUAGU